CAGCCGUAAACUAUGCGCGUUAGGUGUAUCGGUGACCACGAGUUACCGAGGUGCCGAAGGGAAACCGUGAAACGUGCCGCCUGGGAAGUACGGUCGCAAGGCUGAAACUUAAAGGAAUUGGCGGGGGGAGCACCACAACGGGUGGAGCCUGCGGUUUAAUUGGACUCAACGCCGGGAAGCUCACCGGAUAAGACAGCGGAAUGAUUGCCGGGCUGAAGACUCUGCAUGACUAGCUGAGAGGUGGUGCAUGGCGUCAGUGACU
RNAcentral lists this ribosomal RNA (262 nucleotides) under uncultured archaeon. Its description in RNAcentral is "partial 16S ribosomal RNA". It matches the Rfam family "Archaeal small subunit ribosomal RNA", at positions 748 to 1008 of the family's 1478-position model. The record is from RNAcentral.